GCUUAUGGCCAUACCAGCCUGGGUACGCCCGAUCUCUUCUGAUCUCGGAAGCUAAGCAGGGUCGGGCCUGGUUAGUACUUGGAUGGGAGACCGCCUGGGAAUACCAGGUGCUGUAAGCA
This 119-nucleotide ribosomal RNA is filed under the name Salmo salar (Atlantic salmon). The record is from RNAcentral. Lineage: Eukaryota; Metazoa; Chordata; Actinopteri; Salmoniformes; Salmonidae.